Molecule: ribosomal RNA, 254 nt
Filed under: uncultured bacterium
Lineage: Bacteria
Description: partial 16S ribosomal RNA
Rfam family: Bacterial small subunit ribosomal RNA
Source: RNAcentral
UACGUAGGGUGCGAGCGUUGUCCGGAAUUAUUGGGCGUAAAGAGCUCGUAGGCGGUGUGUCACGUCGAUCGUGAAGACCUACAGCUUAACUGUGGGCGUGCGGUCGAUACGGGCAUCACUGGAGUUCGGCAGGGGAGACUGGAAUUCCUGGUGUAGCGGUGAAAUGCGCAGAUAUCAGGAGGAACACCGGUGGCGAAGGCGGGUCUCUGGGCCGAUACUGACGCUGAGGAGCGAAAGCGUGGGGAGCGAACAGG